RNAcentral lists this non-coding RNA (117 nucleotides) under Streptomyces sp. Lineage: Bacteria; Bacillati; Actinomycetota; Actinomycetes; Kitasatosporales; Streptomycetaceae. The record is from RNAcentral.
UCGACAACUGCACACGCGUGUGGCCGAGGGAAGCCGGUGGGAAUCCGGCACUGACCUGCAACCGUGAGCGGCGCCCGGGGGCGCCGUGAGUCGGAUCGCUCGCGCCGCAUGUGAGAC